This 520-nucleotide ribosomal RNA is filed under the name uncultured Glomus. Its description in RNAcentral is "SSU rRNA". It matches the Rfam family "Eukaryotic small subunit ribosomal RNA", at positions 569 to 1090 of the family's 1831-position model. Lineage: Eukaryota; Fungi; Glomeromycota; Glomeromycetes; Glomerales; Glomeraceae. The record is from RNAcentral.
AGCAGCCGCGGUAAUUCCAGCUCCAAUAGCGUAUAUUAAAGUUGUUGCAGUUAAAAAGCUCGUAGUUGAACUUCGGGAUCAAUGGAUUGGUCAUGCCGAUGGUGUGUACUGGUCAUAUUGGUUCUCACCUUCUAAGGAACCAUAAUGUCAUUUAUUUGAUGUUGUGGGGAAUUAGGACUGUUACCUUGAAAAAAUUAGAGUGUUUAAAGCAGGCUAACGCUUGAAUACAUUAGCAUGGAAUAAUGAAAUAGGACAUCGCAUUCUAUUUUGUUGGUUUCUAGGAUCGAUGUAAUGAUUAAUAGGGAUAGUUGGGGGCAUUAGUAUUCAAUUGUCAGAGGUGAAAUUCUUGGAUUUAUUGAAGACUAACUACUGCGAAAGCAUUUUGCCAAGGAUGUUUUCAUUAAUCAAGAACGAAAGUUAGGGGAUCGAAGACGAUCAGAUACCGUCGUAGUCUUAACCAUAAACUAUGCCGACUAGGGAUCGGAUGAUGUUAUUUUUUAAUGACUCAUUCGGCGCCUUA